GUACACGCUGUGACUAGCAUAUCAAUAAGCGGAGGAAAAGAAACUAACAAGGAUUCCCCUAGUAACGGCGAGUGAAGCGGGAAGAGCUCAAAUUUGAAAUCUUAAAGGGUUUCCCUUUACGAAUUGUAGUUUAAAGAAGUGCUUUUCUGUUGAGGUUUUGGUAAAAGUUCUUUGGAAUAGGACAUCAUAGAGGGUGAGAAUCCCGUAUUUGACCUUUACUUUCAACUUUGUGAUACACUUUCAAAGAGUCGGAUUGUUUGGGAAUGCAGUCCAAAAUGGGUGGUAAAUUUCAUCUAAAGCUAAAUAUUGGCGAGAGACCGAUAGCGAACAAGUACCGUGAGGGAAAGAUGAAAAGAACUUUGAAAAGAGAGUUAAACAGUACGUGAAAUUGUCAAAAGGGAAGCGUUUGACACCAGUGUUGUUUUUCUGAAAAUCAAUUAAAGAACUGUUUAUGCUAAGCUGUUUAGACUUUAUCAGCUAUCUGCUUAGUUUUGAGCUUUUCUUUAAUGCACUUUUCAGUUAACAAGUCAACAUCAAUUUCUUUUGCUGUAAAAAAGCUUGAGGAAGGUGGCUUGAGAUUCGUCUUAAGUGUUUAUAGCCUCUUGCCUAUGCAGUCGGAGAGAUUGAGGUCUGCAGCGUAGAUCCUUCGGGGCUAAAUGCAUUUGUGCUAAGUUAUAGCAUUUUAUAGACAACUUGUUGACUAUGAUUUGUCUUGUAGCUUACUCGCUUAUGUUAUUUUACCUACGCUUAGGAUGUUGACGCAUGAGAUAUACGC
Molecule: ribosomal RNA, 775 nt
Filed under: uncultured Neocallimastigales
Lineage: Eukaryota; Fungi; Neocallimastigomycota; Neocallimastigomycetes; Neocallimastigales
Description: partial large subunit ribosomal RNA
Rfam family: Eukaryotic large subunit ribosomal RNA
Source: RNAcentral